UACAGAGGGUGCGAGCGUUAAUCGGAAUUACUGGGCGUAAAGCGCGCGUAGGCGGCUUUGCAAGUCGGGUGUGAAAUCCCCAGGCUUAACCUGGGAACUGCAUUCGAGACUGCAUUGCUAGAGUAUGGGAGAGGGAAGUGGAAUUUCCGGUGUAGCGGUGAAAUGCGUAGAUAUCGGAAGGAACAUCAGUAGCGAAAGCGACUUCCUGGACCAAUACUGACGCUCAUGUGCGAAAGCGUGGGGAGCAAACAGG
RNAcentral lists this ribosomal RNA (253 nucleotides) under uncultured bacterium. Its description in RNAcentral is "partial 16S ribosomal RNA". It matches the Rfam family "Bacterial small subunit ribosomal RNA", at positions 524 to 776 of the family's 1533-position model. The record is from RNAcentral.